This 251-nucleotide ribosomal RNA is filed under the name uncultured bacterium. RNAcentral describes it as "partial 16S ribosomal RNA". It matches the Rfam family "Bacterial small subunit ribosomal RNA", at positions 57 to 305 of the family's 1533-position model. The record is from RNAcentral.
GCAAGUCGAACGGCAGCAUGCACUUCGGUGUGAUGGCGAGUGGCGCACGGGUGAGUAACGCGUACAAAAUCUACCUUUUACUGGGGGAAAGUCGCUGGAAACGGCGAAUAAUCCCGCAUACGACUUUAGGGACACAUGUUUUUAAAGUGAAAGGCUUCGGUUGGUAAAAGAUGAUUGUGCGUCCCAUUAGCUAGAUGGUAAGGUAACGGCUUACCAUGGCAACGAUAGGUAGGGGCCUUGAGAGGGGGAUC